GAUGAACGCUGGCGGCGUGCCUAAUACAUGCAAGUCGAGCGAACGGACGAGAAGCUUGCUUCUCUGAUGUUAGCGGCGGACGGGUGAGUAACACGUGGAUAACCUACCUAUAAGACUGGGAUAACUUCGGGAAACCGGAGCUAAUACCGGAUAAUAUUUUGAACCGCAUGGUUCAAAAGUGAAAGACGGUCUUGCUGUCACUUAUAGAUGGAUCCGCGCUGCAUUAGCUAGUUGGUAAGGUAACGGCUUACCAAGGCAACGAUGCAUAGCCGACCUGAGAGGGUGAUCGGCCACACUGGAACUGAGACACGGUCCAGACUCCUACGGGAGGCAGCAGUAGGGAAUCUUCCGAAAUGGGCGAAAGCCUGACGGAGCAACGCCGCGUGAGUGAUGAAGGUCUUCGGAUCGUAAAACGCUGUUAUUAGGGAAGAACAUAUGUGUAAGUAACUGUGCACAUCUUGACGGUACCUAAUCAGAAAGCCACGGCUAACUACGU
RNAcentral lists this ribosomal RNA (496 nucleotides) under uncultured bacterium. RNAcentral describes it as "partial 16S ribosomal RNA". It matches the Rfam family "Bacterial small subunit ribosomal RNA", at positions 28 to 506 of the family's 1533-position model. The record is from RNAcentral.